CAGUCAGGCUCCUGGCAAAAGUCCAGCACUUAGCUUGAUUUAGCCAAAGCCUG
Cricetulus griseus (Chinese hamster) is the source of this 53-nucleotide microRNA precursor. The record is from Ensembl. Lineage: Eukaryota; Metazoa; Chordata; Mammalia; Rodentia; Cricetidae.